Molecule: long non-coding RNA, 689 nt
Filed under: Olea europaea subsp. europaea
Lineage: Eukaryota; Viridiplantae; Streptophyta; Magnoliopsida; Lamiales; Oleaceae
Source: RNAcentral
AAAAGGUCCCUUUUUAAAUUCAUUUUUGUAUUCCUUGAUCCUGUGUGAUUCCUGUUAUGAUUUGCCUCAUUGAUACUAAAGAAAUUUAAAUUUACUGACGUUUGUUUCACUCUAAUUUAGAUGGGAAAAACAGUCUAUUUCAACGAGAAUAGAGAUAUUAUGGAGUUUGAAGCAAUAAUUGGAGGCAUCAGCAUUGGUAACUUGAGAAACUCUCUGGAACAGCUUGGGUUAUACAUAAAGGAUGAUUGCAUGGAAAAUGAUGAAGUGGAGGCAAUUCUGCAAGGAGAAGAGGGGGAAAUUCUUUCGUAAUCCUAGCUGCAUAUAUGUGUAGUUUUGAGGUGUUAAUUGUAAAUUAGUAUUCAUUUUGUGGGCUGUUAGGGAACGAAAGGCAAGAUCUCUAAUUAGUCAAUCAAACAUUGUAAGUACAACUAGUGCAUAUUUUUUGUAGAUGCAGUCCAACAAAGAUUCAGUACAACUUGUGAAUAAUUUUUUGUGUAUUUAGAAUUUGUCUUGUAAAUCCGUAUGUCCAGCGUGGUGCUGCCAUUGGAUUGAAAAAGCAAUGUUAUGCCCGUAGGAUGGUAGCAAUUUACUUUUUAUUAUUUUUUAUUUUUUUUACAAUUUUUUUACAAUUUAUUUAUUUAUUUAUUUAUUAUUUUUUUUUUCCGGAUCAAAUUGCUCGUUUGAGCUUA